RNAcentral lists this ribosomal RNA (460 nucleotides) under uncultured bacterium. RNAcentral describes it as "SSU rRNA". It matches the Rfam family "Bacterial small subunit ribosomal RNA", at positions 26 to 518 of the family's 1533-position model. The record is from RNAcentral.
AGAACGAACGCUGGCGGCAGGCCUAACACAUGCAAGUCGAACGCCGUAGCAAUACGGAGUGGCAGACGGGUGAGUAACGCGUGGGAACAUACCCUUCGGUUCGGAAUAACUCAGGGAAACUUGAGCUAAAUACCGGAUACGUCCGAGGUUUUAAUCGACCUUGGAGAAAGAUUUAUCGCCGGAGGAUUGGCCCGCGUCUGAUUAGCUUGUUGGUGAGGUAAUGGCUCACCAAGGCGACGAUCAGUAGCUGGUCUGAGAGGAUGAUCAGCCACAUUGGGACUGAGACACGGCCCAAACUCCUACGGGAGGCAGCAGUGGGGAAUAUUGGACAAUGGGGGCAACCCUGAUCCAGCAAUGCCGCGUGAGUGAUGAAGGCCUUAGGGUUGUAAAGCUCUUUCGCGCGCGACGAUGAUGACGGUAGCGCGAGAAGAAGCCCGGCUAACUUCGUGCCAGCAGCCGC